GUUUGAUCAUGGCUCAGGACGAACGCUGGCGGCGUGCCUAAUACAUGCAAGUCGAACGAACUCUGGUAUUGAUUGGUGCUUGCAUCAUGAUUUACAUUUGAGUGAGUGGCGAACUGGUGAGUAACACGUGGGAAACCUGCCCAGAAGCGGGGGAUAACACCUGGAAACAGAUGCUAAUACCGCAUAACAACUUGGACCGCAUGGUCCGAGUUUGAAAGAUGGCUUCGGCUAUCACUUUUGGAUGGUCCCGCGGCGUAUUAGCUAGAUGGUGGGGUAACGGCUCACCAUGGCAAUGAUACGUAGCCGACCUGAGAGGGUAAUCGGCCACAUUGGGACUGAGACACGGCCCAAACUCCUACGGGAGGCAGCAGUAGGGAAUCUUCCACAAUGGACGAAAGUCUGAUGGAGCAACGCCGCGUGAGUGAAGAAGGGUUUCGGCUCGUAAAACUCUGUUGUUAAAGAAGAACAUAUCUGAGAGUAACUGUUCAGGUAUUGACGGUAUUUAACCAGAAAGCCACGGCUAACUACGUGCCAGCAGCCGCGGUAAUACGUAGGUGGCAAGCGUUGUCCGGAUUUAUUGGGCGUAAAGCGAGCGCAGGCGGUUUUUUAAGUCUGAUGUGAAAGCCUUCGGCUCAACCGAAGAAGUGCAUCGGAAACUGGGAAACUUGAGUGCAGAAGAGGACAGUGGAACUCCAUGUGUAGCGGUGAAAUGCGUAGAUAUAUGGAAGAACACCAGUGGCGAAGGCGGCUGUCUGGUCUGUAACUGACGCUGAGGCUCGAAAGUAUGGGUAGCAAACAGGAUUAGAUACCCUGGUAGUCCAUACCGUAAACGAUGAAUGCUAAGUGUUGGAGGGUUUCCGCCCUUCAGUGCUGCAGCUAACGCAUUAAGCAUUCCGCCUGGGGAGUACGGCCGCAAGGCUGAAACUCAAAGGAAUUGACGGGGGCCCGCACAAGCGGUGGAGCAUGUGGUUUAAUUCGAAGCUACGCGAAGAACCUUACCAGGUCUUGACAUACUAUGCAAAUCUAAGAGAUUAGACGUUCCCUUCGGGGACAUGGAUACAGGUGGUGCAUGGUUGUCGUCAGCUCGUGUCGUGAGAUGUUGGGUUAAGUCCCGCAACGAGCGCAACCCUUAUUAUCAGUUGCCAGCAUUAAGUUGGGCACUCUGGUGAGACUGCCGGUGACAAACCGGAGGAAGGUGGGGAUGACGUCAAAUCAUCAUGCCCCUUAUGACCUGGGCUACACACGUGCUACAAUGGAUGGUACAACGAGUUGCGAACUCGCGAGAGUAAGCUAAUCUCUUAAAGCCAUUCUCAGUUCGGAUUGUAGGCUGCAACUCGCCUACAUGAAGUCGGAAUCGCUAGUAAUCGCGGAUCAGCAUGCCGCGGUGAAUACGUUCCCGGGCCUUGUACACACCGCCCGUCACACCAUGAGAGUUUGUAACACCCAAAGUCGGUGGGGUAACCUUUUAGGAACCAGCCGCCUA
This 1483-nucleotide ribosomal RNA is filed under the name Lactiplantibacillus pentosus. RNAcentral describes it as "bacterial SSU rRNA". It matches the Rfam family "Bacterial small subunit ribosomal RNA". Lineage: Bacteria; Bacillati; Bacillota; Bacilli; Lactobacillales; Lactobacillaceae. The record is from RNAcentral.